This 1359-nucleotide ribosomal RNA is filed under the name uncultured bacterium. RNAcentral describes it as "bacterial SSU rRNA". It matches the Rfam family "Bacterial small subunit ribosomal RNA", at positions 28 to 1381 of the family's 1533-position model. The record is from RNAcentral.
GAUGAACGCUAGCUACAGGCUUAACACAUGCAAGUCGAGGGGCAGCAUUUCAGUUUGCUUGCAAACUGGAGAUGGCGACCGGCGCACGGGUGAGUAACACGUAUCCAACCUGCCGAUAACUCGGGGAUAGCCUUUCGAAAGAAAGAUUAAUACCCGAUGGUAUAAUCAGACCGCAUGGUCUUGUUAUUAAAGAAUUUCGGUUAUCGAUGGGGAUGCGUUCCAUUAGGCAGUUGGUGAGGUAACGGCUCACCAAACCUUCGAUGGAUAGGGGUUCUGAGAGGAAGGUCCCCCACAUUGAAACUGAGACACGGUCCAAACUCCUACGGGAGGCAGCAGUGAGGAAUAUUGGUCAAUGGGCGCAGGCCUGAACCAGCCAAGUAGCGUGAAGGAUGACUGCCCUAUGGGUUGUAAACUUCUUUUAUAUGGGAAUAAAGUUUUCCACGUGUGGAAUUUUGUAUGUACCAUAUGAAUAAGGAUCGGCUAACUCCGUGCCAGCAGCCGCGGUAAUACGGAGGAUCCGAGCGUUAUCCGGAUUUAUUGGGUUUAAAGGGAGCGUAGGUGGACAGUUAAGUCAGUUGUGAAAGUUUGCGGCUCAACCGUAAAAUUGCAGUUGAUACUGGCUGUCUUGAGUACAGUAGAGGUGGGCGGAAUUCGUGGUGUAGCGGUGAAAUGCUUAGAUAUCACGAAGAACUCCGAUUGCGAAGGCAGCUCACUGGACUGCAACUGACACUGAUGCUCGAAAGUGUGGGUAUCAAACAGGAUUAGAUACCCUGGUAGUCCACACAGUAAACGAUGAAUACUCGCUGUUUGCGAUAUACAGUAAGCGGCCAAGCGAAAGCAUUAAGUAUUCCACCUGGGGAGUACGCCGGCAACGGUGAAACUCAAAGGAAUUGACGGGGGCCCGCACAAGCGGAGGAACAUGUGGUUUAAUUCGAUGAUACGCGAGGAACCUUACCCGGGCUUAAAUUGCAUUUGAAUAUAUUGGAAACAGUAUAGCCGUAAGGCAAAUGUGAAGGUGCUGCAUGGUUGUCGUCAGCUCGUGCCGUGAGGUGUCGGCUUAAGUGCCAUAACGAGCGCAACCCUUAUCUUUAGUUACUAACAGGUCAUGCUGAGGACUCUAGAGAGACUGCCGUCGUAAGAUGUGAGGAAGGUGGGGAUGACGUCAAAUCAGCACGGCCCUUACGUCCGGGGCUACACACGUGUUACAAUGGGGGGUACAGAAGGCAGCUACCUGGUGACAGGAUGCUAAUCCCAAAAGCCUCUCUCAGUUCGGAUCGAAGUCUGCAACCCGACUUCGUGAAGCUGGAUUCGCUAGUAAUCGCGCAUCAGCCAUGGCGCGGUGAAUACGUUCCCGGGCCU